Molecule: long non-coding RNA, 8118 nt
Filed under: Sus scrofa (pig)
Lineage: Eukaryota; Metazoa; Chordata; Mammalia; Artiodactyla; Suidae
Description: lncRNA (ENSSSCG00050062518.1)
Source: RNAcentral
UUUUUUUUUUUUUUUAAUUGAUGCCCAAUCUAAUUGUUUAAGGGCAUAGUCUGGAUUUCUAGAUUUUUCAAAGUUCACCAGGCAAUUCUAAUGGAUAGCAAAGUUUAAGAAUCAGCAUUCCAGAAACCAAACAGGGAGGUUCAGGAAAAAGUCAGGGGUAAGUGCGAGAGGACAGUGGCAGCUGGAUGCUCUCUGCACAUCUACCUGUGACCCCCUGAGUCUAAUCAGCUGUCUCUUCAGGGCCCUCAAGUCUGGGGUCCAGACCAAGCUUCCCUGAACUACUGGUUCAAUCAAGAAUGAUGCUAGAGCUGCAGUAAAAACGGGGCACUUGGAAAAUGGAUGAAAACCAGAAGCUGGGCCUACUUUAAAGCCAGACAAGAGGACCUGUUAUCAAUAUCAGGACUGCAGCUCAUAGGAAGCCCUCCGCUGACUGUUCGCCCUCACCCACCCGAGCAAGAAGCGCCAAUGUGCAUUGCUGCAGAAAAGCUCCUGUUCUAUGAGGUUGGCGGGUCUUAAGCAGCUUAAUGGGUUAGAGCUGCUGAGUGCUCAAGCUCCUAACAGCUGGCCUUACUCAAAGCAGAGAGGAAGUGGCAGGUCUCCUCUUUGGAGGGCGAGCCUUACCUCACAGAGGGACAGGGGAAAUUUUCCUGCGACAGGUGGCAUGUCCUGAUGUACAACUGUGGGCCGCUGCCCACAUUCCUGAGGCAAUGGGGUUAAUUCUGGUGUUGCUCUCACGGCCCUGGGAGAGGUGGAGGGCUUGCAUCUGUUGAGGCUCCUCAUAGAUGGAACUCCUCUGACUCUUCCUCACGACAGUGCUAGUGUGAAGUCUUUACUGUGCUCCCAUUUUACAGAUGACAGAAACAGAGCCUGGGCACUGCUGGUUAUGACAUCACAGUCAACCUGGUGAAGUUUGACGGGCAAAUUCGAAAGCCCCACUCUCUUUCCAUAGCAAUGUCCAAGAUAAACCAAACACGGCAAGCUCCCUCCCACCCAUAGGAAAUCAUCCAAAGGCUGCUGGUGGCCCAGCUUCCCUGGAUUAGCCAAUUAGUCAUCACCAGCCUGAAGAUACAAAACCUUUGAACUUUCUUCCAUCAUUCCACAGGGACACGCGUUUGUUCUCCACCCUGGGUGAGCCCCAGCCGAGUGCCAGCCGCUCAGAAGCCCGUGGAAUCUGGAAGGAGGAGUCCUUUCACACACCCAGCUUUAAAGUCCUCUCACCAAGCUGAGGGCCCUUCCCUCGUCACACACACACUUCACACCUUCAGACCUGAAUUCUGUGUGUCCCUUGUGAGGGGUCAACAGACCUGGAAUUAAGUCGACCCAGGGCCAAGGCCAGCUUUUGGUCUCUUCUCCUCAGACGCAGGAAACUUUCUGCUACUGGCCCCAUAAGUGCCAAAUGCAAGGCCAAAUUAGCUGGUACUUAGUACAGUCGGUGUACAUAAGACUAACUUUUACUUCCCAAACGCAACUUUAUAGAGCUUAGUUAAUACUGCUCACUCGCCCUCACACUCCUGCCUUUAAAGUUUUUGUCCUAGGAGACUUUGCUCAUAUUCCAAAGAUGCUGUCCCAAGUCAAAGUUGCCUGGAACCCUUCUUCUGGAACUGCCUUCAAGGCUAGUCUUAUAAUAAAUGAGCUGGCCAUUCAAAUUUUAAAAUCCUUACUUUAAAAAAAAAGUUAACCUUUUAAUUUAGUUUUAAACAAUUUCACGUUUUCCAAAUAAUUGAAGUCUAGCUGACUUGUAAUGUUGUGUCUGUUUCAGGUGUACACAAAGUGAUUUAUGUAUAUAUGUAUUGUUUUCCUGAUUCGUUUCCAUUAUAGGUUACUACAAGAUACUAUUCAGUUCCCUGUGCUACACAGUAAAUCCUUGCUGUUCAUCUGCUUUAUAUGUAGUGCUGUGCAUCUGUUAAUCCCAUACUCCUAAUUUAUCACCCCCCUCUCCUGUCUCCUUUGGUAACCAUAAAUUUAUUUUCUAUAUCUGUGAGUCUGCGUCUGUUUGUAAAUAAGUUCAUUUGUAUUUUUUUUAAGAGUCCACAUAUACAUGAUCUGUAUUUCUCUGACUUACUUCAUUUAGUAAGAUAAUCUCUAGGUCCAUCCAUGUUGCUGCAAAUGGCAUAAUUUCACUCUUAAAAUGACUGAGUGAUAUUCCACUGUGUGCGUGUGUGUGUGUGUGUGUGUGUGAGUACCACAUCUUCUUUACCCCUUCAUCUGCUGAUGGACAUUUAUCUUUAUUUUUUUUUCUUUUUUUUUUUUCUUUUUGUCUUUUUGCUAUUUCUUGGGCUGCUCCCAUGGCAUAGGAGGCUCCCAGGAGAGGGGCUGAAUGGGAGCUGUAGCUGCUGGCCUACACCACAGCCACAGCAACAUGGGAUCUGAGCCAUGUCUGUGACCUACACCACGGCUCAUCACAACGCUGGACCCUUAACCCACUGGGAGAGGCCAGGGAUUGAACCUGAGUCCUUAUGGAUGCUAGUCAGAUUUGUUUCUGCUGAGCCACCAAAGGUUAUUCUUGACUUAUUAGCCAAACUUAGCUCUGAAGAACUCAAGGCCAUUUCCAAACUUAAAAUCUUUCUUGACAAUAGAAAUACUUAACAUCGCCAUCUUAUUUUUUCUUCCAAAGAGCUCCAAAGAAGCGCCUGAAAAGGUUUCAGGCAAAUCGCUGGUCUUGAGGUGAGGCCAUAGCUUGGAAAGAUACCACACUCAAGUACCAAGGUACAUAUUCAGAUAGAAACGCACGUGCUCUGAUACGUUUACAUUAAAACAAGAAGAAAACCUCAAGCCACAUGACCACAUCCUAUGGAACAUUUUUUAUGUAACUACAAUCCAUCAUGCAGCAUUAAAAGGCAUUAAUAAUGAUCACAAUGAAAUGUUAGCAGACAGUGAUCUGAUGUGCCAAGGACACUAUGCCUUCAUGUGUCCUCUUUAAAUCUCACAGCAGGUAUUUGAGGCAGAGCCUACGAGUAUCCCGAUUGUGUUAAGUGGGGAAACUGCCACCCAGAGAAUGGAGAACCCAACCUAUGAACCCAUCGAAUGGCAGAACCAAAAGAGAAAUCCAACUCCAGAGCAUACAACUCUCAACCCCUGGGCUCAUUUCCAGACCUCAUUGGGUUAGCCAGCCACCUGUGGAGUUGCCCGUUCUGCACCAUCAACAAAACAGUGCCAGGACACCCUGGAGAGGCAAAUGGAACAUCUUUCAAGGUGGCGUGGACCCAGAACCAAAAGAGCACGUGGGGAGAAAGUUCUGCAGCAUAUAGCCCUUCAAAAACCAGGUGAGAGGGUGUCCUCCUGGCAAGGCUCAGAAGCACCCACAGUUACAAUUCUCAGCUUGGCUGGUUCAGCAACCCAGGGCUGAACCCUCCCCUGGAGCCCUGUCCCUGCCUGCACUGCAACAUGGAGAUAACAAACAAAUGCUUGUGCAGAAUGGAGCAAUACUGGGCUGGUCUGGGCAGUGCCGAGUGACACCCUAUGUUAAACCCUCGCAUCUGGAGUUGUACAGUCCAAGCUGUACUCCCUGCCCCAUGGAUUUCCAGCUAUGAGUUCUCAGGCAUUUUAUUUUUUUUUUUAGGGCCGCGCCUGCCCACAUGGAGGUUCCCAGACUAGGGGUCGAAUUGGAGCUGCAGCUGCUGGCCUAAACCACAGCCACAGCAACUCGGGAUCUGAGCCACAUCUGCAACCUACACCACAGCUCAUGGCAACACCAGAUCUCCAACCAGCUGAUCGAGGCCAGGGAUGGAACCCAUACCUUCAAGGAUACUAGUUGGUUCGUUACUGCUGAGCCACAACGGGAACUCCUAUUUCAUCUUUCUAAACUGCAUUUUCUCCAUGUGCAAAAUGGAGACACAACAAACAGCACCUACUCUGGGGUAGCCUGGAGUUUGUAAUGCCAAUUAGCUGUACCUGUCAUGAAGCAUAUGGCACAAAGCAGACACUUAGAAUACUGGUUCUUGUGUCCAUUAUUCCAACAAAGGUUCCAUAUGCAAUGGACAGCAGUGUGGACAAAGGUGUCAAAAUCACCCAUUGCCUCAGUACAGUGCUCUUCUGAUGGCUGAUGACAGCACACACAUGCCACCCCGCUUUAGCAUAGGUGCCCAAGCAGAGAAAUUUGCCCGUUUGGGUCUUAUCUUUUGGCAAAUGCUAACUAUACAAUCCAUUGGGUUCUUCCUGGACCUCUGAAGUCAACAUGAAACUCCUCCUUGUAACAGGGAAAUAUCUGGGGUUUUCAAAUACCAGUGGAAUUUCCCCCUCUUUUUUCCUGAAAGGCCAGCCUGACAUUUGGAGGUCGGUUGUGGUUCUGUACUUCUCAAAGCAGGGGUUUCCUAAGCUUCACAUCCACUUCAUGUUUUCCCAAGAUUUACAUUUGAAUAACCACUCCAGCGGCGGUGGAGGCUAGGCUUCUGAACUGCGGACUACUCUGAAACAGCGUUUUCCCAGGCCUAUCUGGGUAGUUCCUGGGUUGCCAGCUACUGGAGCUGGACCUGGGAGCAGAACAAUCUAAGCAAGAGAAUGAAACAAUACAAUAAGCCCCUGAGACACCACCACCCUACAGGUCCCAAGCCGACAAAGUGAAGAGUUCUGAACUUGGGAAAAAAGCCUUCUGGAAAGGAAGCUAAGGAAAAAAAAAAAAAAAAAACUCAGCCAGGAAGGGGGGUACUUUUGAAAGGAUUUCUAAAAAUUCCUGCUGCUACAUAUUAAGUUACUAACUCUGCCUGGAAGUGGGCUGUCCACCCACUGCCCUAAGCUGUCUGUAAGUUAGGGCUAGGUCACCCCUCAGCCGGGCCACCAGGGACGGGGACCUCUGAGACUUGUAUUCACUUCAAAGCCACAACACAGCUGACCUCACAGCACCAUCCCAGAGAAAUGUAAUGUUGAGUCCCACAUGUGAGUGAUUUCAGUUUUUCUAGUAGUCACACUUAAAAAGGAAUACCACCCAGGCAAAACCAAUUCGAAUAAUACACAUGACAUAAUCCAGUAUAUCUAAAACAUUUUUGUUUCAACAAGUGAUUAAGAGGAAAGAGUUACUGACGAGGUAUUUUACAUUCUUUUUCUUGGUACGAAGGCUUCAAACUCUGAUGUGUAUUUUGCACUUACAGCCCAUCGCAGUUCCUAACAGCCUCCUUUCAAGCGCGUGGACAGCCCAGGCGGGGAAGGUACUGGACUGCAUGGGUCUAGAGCAGCGGCCAUUCCCAAUCUGAUCACCUGAAACUGGUCAAGGGGGCAGGGUGGCGCCUGGCACAAAACGCGACAUCCCAGCCCCACCCUGGAGGCGCUCCGCGAGAGGCAGCUGGCCCCCCUCCAAGUUCCGCUGCGGCACAAGCUGCCACCCACGCAGCCCGGUCCCCACGGCCUCUCUGUAGAGGCAUACAGGGCUGACGUGUAUAAUAUACCCACUGGCAGGCUAGCCUGGGACUGGCAGGAGGAGGAGUAGGAGGAGGAAGAGGCCAAAGAAAGUCUCCCAGAGGCAAGUGGACUCGCUGGGCUGAGGGGUCAGGCGCCCACGCCUAUGAAACCAAGCAGUUCUGUUUGUCUGUUGGGUCUGAACUUGGCCCAAACUUCAACGUGGAUCUUCUCUUUUCCUUUGUGCACAGUCAUGAGCACCAUGCACACCUUGUCUGCAAAAGGAAGGGGGAGGGUUGGGGCCCUGUUUAUAACUGAAAGAGGUGGGAAGAACAAAUUACCGUCCUACCUGGGGUAUCUUGAACACUUCAAGGGGGCAGAGACAUUUCUGGAGCCUUUAUUUCCCUAUGCAUAUUCAGUAGGGCGUUUAAAAUGUCAAAUGGGGCCCUCUGCAGCUGUCACUUUAUCUCCCCAUGACCUUGGCCAGAAAGAAGCCACCUUUAACCUGGAGGAGGUGGGCUGAAUGCACCUGUCAAAACCCAGUGCACCUACCACCAUCACCUGGGCUCCCUGGCGGCUGGGAUGAGUUUUUCUGCUUUCUCCCUACUCGCUGGGCUGACUAGAUUGAAAUCUUUCAAAGGAGAAGACUCACACGCCAGUAUGGAAAAGUUCUCUUAUCAUUUGGAGAAAAUUAUUUAGGGCUGGGUAGAUAAACAUGUACAGGAAAUACUUCUAUAGAGGUCUUGAUCCUCUGAAGAUUAAUAACCCACGGAACUGGAGACCAGCCUCAAACUCGGAGGAAAUAGGCAAGUUAUAAAAACAGGAAGAACGGGAAGUUUAUUUUUGGAUGAAUAUUUGUUCUAGUGAAGCUCUCGAUCCUGACAAAAACCUUGAUCUGCAGGUCAUUUGCUGCAGCGGAGCAGCUGCAGUGCGUGUUUCCACAAGCUGUCCCACCAGAGAUUUCCGGGUCUUUCGGGAAAGGGCCUCACCCCACUCCUGCAAAACAUCUGCCUCGCUGCCACUGCUCAGGGCCUCCUUCCUCCCAAAUUCCUGCCGGUGAGUGGACUCUCCAGGCCAGCUAAAAAGCUCAGCCGUCGCCACCAGCUCUGCCUUUGUCCCCAGGGCCUGAAGCUGGCCCAUCUCCCCCAGGCACAUGAACUGCAGCUCCUGGUUUCUGCCACGUCCGUUCCAGCAGGAUGUGACCAGCCUUCCUCCGUGGACUGCCAGCCUCUCCAGUUCUCCUCCUAUAACCUGUCACUGCACCUUCCUCGGCUCCCUACUGCCUCUAGAAGAAAAGUCUUAUCUUUUCCAGUUUCACAGACAGAACUCUACACACUCUGGCCCAGCCCACCUCUGCAGCCCCGUCUCCACAGACAGGGCCGGCUCUGUGAUUUGCAGGGCCCCGGGCAAAAGGAAAAUAAAUUGUGGGGGCCCUUUGUUCAAAAAUUAGUAAGAAUUUCAGAAUGGCAAGAGCAGGGCCUUAAGCCAAGCAUAGGGGGGCCCUGUGUGACUGCCUUAGCUGCACAGUCACGAGGCAGGCCCUACACACAGCCUCCCUCAGACCAGCCACAGAAGGCAGCAGAUGCUAUCGCCACAGGAACCCCCUUCCCCUCUCCUCACACUCACUGAAGCUCAGCCCUUCCCUCAAAGCCGUCAAAAGACAAGGAAAUGGGCCUCCAUCCUCCCAGGUGACCCAUUCAGGUGCCCCCUCCUCUGCGCUCUCUGGUCCAGGUCUACAGUGUGGUGACUGAGGUACCUGCCUCUCCUCCACACCUUAAUCAGACCAAGGGUCCCAGGCUCCAGGUUCACUGCUCCGUCAGUGCUGUGCCCUCCCCUCCCCUUUCCAGAGCACACAUUAGGUCUGCUGCAAAGCUCUACUAAAUGGCCACUCGGAAUUUUGCUCUCCACCUCUAACGGCCACUUACGAAGCCUCCUAUGUCUUUGCCAACUGACCUGUUAAAGGAACAGUUUUUUAAAAAUUCCCCAGAGAUCAUGAUGUUGUGUAAGAGGAGAUGGCCGGGUCCUCCAGAGACAGAAUCACAGGACGAGUUUGAGAGCCUCUGAACAGGAACUUCCAUUAACCACCAUUAUGAAACUUACUGGCCAGACACCAAGGCUGCAUAUGUUGACUUUGGCAGUGGCUUCACAGGUGGCCCAGCUGGCACAGCGGCAGAAAUCUCACCAUCUCCCUGGCUGCUGCCAGCACUGAGGGGGGGCAGGGGGCGUGGUAGAGGGAUGGGAAACAGGAGAACCAGCCUUACCUUCCCUGUGUCCAGUCUGCAGAGGGGUGGAGAGAGCCGGGAGAAAGACAGGGAGCCAUUUUCAUCAAUGCCCUACAAAAGCCAUUGGGAAGCAGGUUCAAGACAAGAACCUUAGGUUUUCUCAUCUCGGAACCUGAAAUGAUUUGUUUCCCAUAACAAGAUCAACUUCUCAGGGAAGAUGCUUGUGGACCCUUAAGUUCCUUUUGAGCAAAGAAGCAGAAGAGAAACGAUCACCACUACCCACUUUCUAAUUCUUUCUAAUUUCUAAAACAUUAAAAAAUCCCAAACAGCUUCCUAGACAUUCAGGCAAAGUUGAUUUUUCCAGCAACUGUCGAUUCGAUUGACCGUGUUCAUGGAAGAAGAUGAAGCCAAGAAGUGGGGGAUGCCGUUGUAUCAGAAAACACAGGUAUUAACUUGGUGUGCCUUCUGGUAUUAGAAGACCUUCAAGGAAUCUUCCUCCCCCAAUAGGCUGUUCAGUAACAGUAACCAUAGUAACAGCAGGAGCUACAUUACUGAGCAGGGUGAUCAU